Molecule: ribosomal RNA, 216 nt
Filed under: Glomeromycotina sp.
Lineage: Eukaryota; Fungi; Glomeromycota
Description: partial small subunit ribosomal RNA
Rfam family: Eukaryotic small subunit ribosomal RNA (bases 87-216)
Source: RNAcentral
GGGUCAGUAGGUUGGUCGUGCCACCGGUACGUACUGGUCUCACUGAUUCCUCCUUCCUGAAGAACCGUAAUGCCAUUAAUUGGGUGUUGCGGGGAAACAGGACUGUUACUUUGAAAAAAUUAGAGUGUUUAAAGCAAGCUAACGCUUGAAUACAUUAGCAUGGAAUAAUGAAAUAGGACGAUCGAUCCUAUUUUGUUGGUGUCUAGGAUUGACGUA